CAGUCGCCGCGGUAAUACAGAGGGUGCGAGCGUUAAUCGGAUUUACUGGGCGUAAAGCGUGCGUAGGCGGCUUUUUAAGUCGGAUGUGAAAUCCCUGAGCUUAACUUAGGAAUUGCAUUCGAUACUGGGAAGCUAGAGUAUGGGAGAGAAUGGUAGAAUUCCAGGUGUAGCGGUGAAAUGCGUAGAGAUCUGGAGGAAUACCGAUGGCGAAGGCAGCCAUCUGGCCUAAUACUGACGCUGAGGUACGAAAGCAUGGGGAGCAAACAGGAUUAGAUACCCCUGUAGUCCCUGUCUCUUAUAC
Molecule: ribosomal RNA, 301 nt
Filed under: uncultured bacterium
Lineage: Bacteria
Description: partial 16S ribosomal RNA
Rfam family: Bacterial small subunit ribosomal RNA
Source: RNAcentral